Molecule: ribosomal RNA, 117 nt
Filed under: Ruminococcus sp. AF37-3AC
Lineage: Bacteria; Bacillati; Bacillota; Clostridia; Eubacteriales; Oscillospiraceae
Source: RNAcentral
GUUGGUGUUGAUGACGCUGAGGGUUCACCUGUUCCCAUACCGAACACAGAAGUUAAGCUCAGUGGUGCCGAAAAUACUUGGCUGGUGACGGCCCGGGAAGAUAGGGAGAUGCCAACA